GCAGCCGCCAGCCCUGCCUCUGAGCUGCCCCAUCACACCUUCUUCAGGACUGCAAACUCACCCAGCAGCGCUGGGCUGAGAGCACCUGUAUCUUGGCCCGGAGCAUGGUGGGGACACAGAGAGUCAUGCACCAGCCCAGUGAGAACCAAUUCAGAGCCAAAUGCCAAACCCCAGCCAGCGGCUACCAGGACCCAGGCAACCCUCCCAGGACAGCAAACUCACUCACUGCUG
This 231-nucleotide long non-coding RNA is filed under the name Homo sapiens (human). Its description in RNAcentral is "non-protein coding lnc-COMT-2:2". Lineage: Eukaryota; Metazoa; Chordata; Mammalia; Primates; Hominidae. The record is from RNAcentral.